GACGAACGCUGGCGGCGUGCUUAACACAUGCAAGUCGAACGGAAAGGCCCUGCUUUUGUGGGGUGCUCGAGUGGCGAACGGGUGAGUAACACGUGAGUAACCUGCCCUUGACUUUGGGAUAACUUCAGGAAACUGGGGCUAAUACCGGAUAGGAGCUCCUGCUGCAUGGUGGGGGCUGGAAAGUUUCGGCGGUUGGGGAUGGACUCGCGGCUUAUCAGCUUGUUGGUGGGGUAGUGGCUUACCAAGGCUUUGACGGGUAGCCGGCCUGGGAGGGUGACCGGCCACAUUGGGACUGAGAUACGGCCCAGACUCCUACGGGAGGCAGCAGUGGGGAAUAUUGCACAAUGGGCGGAAGCCUGAUGCAGCAACGCCGCGUGCGGGAUGACGGCCUUCGGUUUGUAAACCGCUUUCGCCUGUGACGAAGCGUGAGUGACGGUAAUGGGUAAAGAAGCACCGGCUAACUACGUG
Molecule: ribosomal RNA, 468 nt
Filed under: uncultured bacterium
Lineage: Bacteria
Description: partial 16S ribosomal RNA
Rfam family: Bacterial small subunit ribosomal RNA
Source: RNAcentral